RNAcentral lists this ribosomal RNA (575 nucleotides) under uncultured bacterium. RNAcentral describes it as "bacterial SSU rRNA". It matches the Rfam family "Bacterial small subunit ribosomal RNA", at positions 102 to 673 of the family's 1533-position model. The record is from RNAcentral.
ACGGGUGAGUAAUACAUCGGAACGUGCCCUGUAGUGGGGGAUAGCUAGUCGAAAGAUUAGCUAAUACCGCAUACGACCUGAGGGUGAAAGUGGGGGACCGCAAGGCCUCAUGCUAUAGGAGCGGCCGAUGUCUGAUUAGCUAGUUGGUGGGGUAAAGGCCCACCAAGGCGACGAUCAGUAGCUGGUCUGAGAGGACGAUCAGCCACACUGGGACUGUGACACGGCCCAGACUCCUACGGGAGGCAGCAGUGGGGAAUUUUGGACAAUGGGGGCAACCCUGAUCCAGCAAUGCCGCGUGUGUGAAGAAGGCCUUCGGGUUGUAAAGCACUUUUGUCCGGAAAGAAAUCGCACUUACUAAUAUUAGGUGUGGAUGACGGUACCGGAAGAAUAAGGACCGGCUAACUACGUGCCAGCAGCCGCGGUAAUACGUAGGGUCCAAGCGUUAAUCGGAAUUACUGGGCGUAAAGCGUGCGCAGGCGGUUGUGCAAGACCGAUGUGAAAUCCCCGGGCUUAACCUGGGAAUUGCAUUGGUGACUGCACGGCUAGAGUGUGUCAGAGGGGGGUAGAAUUCCACG